AGGAUAAACGCUGGCGGCGUGCCUAACACAUGCAAGUCGAACGUCCUACGCAAGUAGGGAGUGGCGGACGGGUGAGUAACACGUGGGCAAUCUACCUUUCGGUGAGGAAUACCGGCGAGAAAUCGCCGACAAUACCGCAUACGCUUCGCAAGAAGCAAAGUCGCAAGACGCCGGAGGAGGAGCCUGCGCCCGAUUAGCUCGUUGGUGGAGUAAUGGUCUACCAAGGCGACGAUCGGUAGCUGGUCUGAGAGGAUGAUCAGCCACACUGGGAUUGAGAACGGCCCAGACUCCUACGGGGGGCAGCAGUGAGGAAUUUUCGUCAAUGGGGGCAACCCUGAACGAGCAACGCCGCGUGCAGGAUGACGCUUUUCGGAGUGUAAACUGCUUUUCUCGGGGAAGAGCAAGGACGGUACCCGAGGAAUCAGCCCGGCUAACUACGUGCCAGCAGCCGC
RNAcentral lists this ribosomal RNA (452 nucleotides) under uncultured bacterium. RNAcentral describes it as "SSU rRNA". It matches the Rfam family "Bacterial small subunit ribosomal RNA", at positions 26 to 518 of the family's 1533-position model. The record is from RNAcentral.